Molecule: ribosomal RNA, 498 nt
Filed under: uncultured Glomeromycotina
Lineage: Eukaryota; Fungi; Glomeromycota
Description: SSU rRNA
Rfam family: Eukaryotic small subunit ribosomal RNA
Source: RNAcentral
CCAAUAGCGUAUAUUAAAGUUGUUGCAGUUAAAAAGCUCGUAGUUGAAUUUCGGGAUCAAGUCGUCGGUCGUGCUUAGGUACGUACUGGCGUCAUUGAUUUCUCCCUUCUGACGAACCAUGAUGUCAUUAAUUUGGUGUUAUGGGAAAUCAGGACUGUUACUUUGAAAAAAUUAGAGUGUUUAAAGCAGGCUCACGCUUGAAUACAUUAGCAUGGAAUAAUGAAAUAGGACGUUCGAUCCUAUUUUGUUGGUUUUAGGAUCAACGUAAUGAUUAAUAGGGAUAGUUGGGGGCAUUAGUAUUCAAUUGUCAGAGGUGAAAUUCUUGGAUUUAUUGAAGACUAACUACUGCGAAAGCAUUUGCCAAGGAUGUUUUCAUUAAUCAAGAACGAAAGUUAGGGGAUCGAAGACGAUCAGAUACCGUCGUAGUCUUAACCAUAAACUAUGCCGACUAGGGAUCGGAUGAUGUUAAUUUUUUAAUGACUCAUUCGGCGCCUUACG